UACGGAGGGUGCGAGCGUUGUCCGGAAUCAUUGGGCGUAAAGAGCUCGUAGGCGGUCUGUCGCGUCUGCUGUGAAAACUCAGGGCUUAACCCUGAGCUUGCAGUGGGUACGGGCAGACUAGAGUGCGGUAGGGGAGACUGGAAUUCCUGGUGUAGCGGUGAAAUGCGCAGAUAUCGAGGAGGAACACCGGUGGGCGAAGGCGGGUCUCUGGGCCGUAAC
This 219-nucleotide ribosomal RNA is filed under the name uncultured bacterium. RNAcentral describes it as "partial 16S ribosomal RNA". It matches the Rfam family "Bacterial small subunit ribosomal RNA", at positions 524 to 740 of the family's 1533-position model. The record is from RNAcentral.